RNAcentral lists this ribosomal RNA (447 nucleotides) under uncultured bacterium. RNAcentral describes it as "partial 16S ribosomal RNA". It matches the Rfam family "Bacterial small subunit ribosomal RNA", at positions 338 to 795 of the family's 1533-position model. The record is from RNAcentral.
CCUACGGGUGGCAGCAGUCGGGAAUUUUGGGCAAUGGGGGCAACCCUGACCCAGCAACGCCGCGUGAGCGAUGAAGGCCUUCGGGUCGUAAAGCUCUGUCGGGAGGGAAGAAGGCUCUCGGGGUGAACAAUCCCGGGGGAUUGACGGUACCUCCAAAGGAAGCGCCGGCUAACUCCGUGCCAGCAGCCGCGGUAAUACGGAGGGCGCAAGCGUUGUUCGGGUUUACUGGGCGUAAAGCGCGCGUAGGCGGAUCCCUCGGCUUAACCGAGGUCCCGCAUCCGAUACUGUCUGGCUCGAGUCUAGGAGAGGAAAGCGGAAUUCCCAGUGUAGCGGUGAAAUGCGUAGAUAUUGGGAGGAACACCGGUGGCGAAGGCGGCUUUCCGGACUAGUACUGACGCUGAGGCGCGAAAGCUAGGGGAGCGAACGGGAUUAGAUACCCGAGUAGUC